RNAcentral lists this long non-coding RNA (818 nucleotides) under Junco hyemalis (dark-eyed junco). RNAcentral describes it as "lncRNA (ENSJHYG00000010521.1)". The record is from RNAcentral. Lineage: Eukaryota; Metazoa; Chordata; Aves; Passeriformes; Passerellidae.
AUGGGCCUGAUCAGGUUUUCCUCUCUCCUCCAGAUCAGUAGGAGGACUGUUCAGCAAACAGCUUUGGAAAGAGGAUAUUUCCUCAAGGAGCAGGCAGCAAGGAAGAAGGCAGAAAAAAGAGACAUUAAGAGCAACGUAACGGAAAGAGCAAGACUCUGGGAAUUGAAAAGGUGUGAGGCACGGCUUGGGGCUGAUACUUCUCUCCCUUUCCUCUGACUGCAGUCCUUAAAAGCUCCCCAAGAGAAACAGCAUCAGAUAGAAGUCUAAUCCAAGGCAUAUCAGUGACAAAUAUGGGCACAAAGAGAUGGAACCCUCAGUGGGGACACUAAGUCUGCUCCCUUGAAACUGAACAGAAAUUUUAACUUCUCCAGGAGCUCAUCAUUAAAUGGCUUUGAUAACCUUUAAGAUUUUGCAAUUCAUAGUGAAACUCCUCAGUGCCUGUUAACUGGUUUUGUAUCACAUAAAAAGGUUUUCUGGUUUAUUUUGGUUGCAAGCCAUAUGGGCAUCACCACUUUCCAGCACACUGUGUAGGCAGAAAAUGUUACACUGUUUAACAGAGUGGUAACAGCAUUUUCUCCACAGAAAGGAAUUCUUCAUAAUGAUCUUCAUGAGGAUUACUCAGUGCUUCUCCCCAUGGCAGGAGGCUGAGGUAAGGCAUGGACAGACCAGAAGCAACAGUGCAAAGAAACCUCUCAGUACCAGGCCACAGAUAAACACACACCAGAUAUGAUGCUGACGUGAAUGGCCAUUCUGGGAGCAGAUCAAUACUGCACAGCCCAAUUAAUAAAACAUAAAAUGACUUUUUAAAGUUGCUAUUG